This 985-nucleotide ribosomal RNA is filed under the name uncultured bacterium ORGANIC-7. Its description in RNAcentral is "bacterial SSU rRNA". It matches the Rfam family "Bacterial small subunit ribosomal RNA", at positions 509 to 1504 of the family's 1533-position model. The record is from RNAcentral. Lineage: Bacteria; Pseudomonadati; Bacteroidota; Flavobacteriia.
CAGCAGCCGCGGUAAUACGGAGGGUCCAAGCGUUAUCCGGAAUCAUUGGGUUUAAAGGGUCCGUAGGCGGGACAAUCAGUCAGUGGUGAAAGUUUGCGGCUCAACCGUAAAAUUGCCAUUGAUACUGUUGUUCUUGAGUGCUUGUGAAGUGGUUAGAAUGAGUAGUGUAGCGGUGAAAUGCAUAGAUAUUACUCAGAAUACCGAUUGCGAAGGCAGAUCACUAACAAUUCACUGACGCUGAUGGACGAAAGCGUAGGUAGCGAACAGGAUUAGAUACCCUGGUAGUCUACGCCGUAAACGAUGGUUACUAGCUGUUCGGACUAAUUGCGGUCUGAGUGGCUAAGCGAAAGUGAUAAGUAACCCACCUGGGGAGUACGUUCGCAAGAAUGAAACUCAAAGGAAUUGACGGGGGCCCGCACAAGCGGUGGAGCAUGUGGUUUAAUUCGAUGAUACGCGAGGAACCUUACCAGGGCUUAAAUGCAGUUUGACAGGUUUUGAAACAUCUUUUUCUUCGGACAAAUUGCAAGGUGCUGCAUGGUUGUCGUCAGCUCGUGCCGUGAGGUGUCAGGUUAAGUCCUAUAACGAGCGCAACCCCUUUGUUUAGUUACCAGCAUGUAGUGAUGGGGACUCUAGACAUACUGCCAGUGUAAACUGUGAGGAAGGUGGGGAUGACGUCAAAUCAUCACGGCCCUUACGUCCUGGGCUACACACGUGCUACAAUGGUAGGGACAGAGAGCAGCCACUGGGUGACCAGGAGCGAAUCUACAAACCCUAUCACAGUUCGGAUCGCAGUCUGCAACUCGACUGCGUGAAGCUGGAAUCGCUAGUAAUCGCAUAUCAGCCAUGAUGCGGUGAAUACGUUCCCGGGCCUUGUACACACCGCCCGUCAAGCCAUGGAAGCUGGGGGUACCUGAAGUCGGUCACCGCAAGGAGCCGCCUAGGGUAAAACUAGUAACUGGGGCUAAGUCGUAACAAGGUAGCCGUA